Long non-coding RNA from Oreochromis niloticus (Nile tilapia), 3835 nucleotides. RefSeq lists it as uncharacterized. The transcript has 4 exons. Lineage: Eukaryota; Metazoa; Chordata; Actinopteri; Cichliformes; Cichlidae. The record is from RefSeq and is a predicted model, not a curated record.
GCGGACUGGCUCCAUUUGACUUUCGGGGAAAGCAGAAAGGUGUGUCGUUAUUGUGCAAGGAGAAAGAUAUUUGGACAAUUUUGUUCUUUUUCGGUGACUAUCUGCUCCUUCUGCGUCCGACACAGGACUCUGCAGUAAGUAAAUGUCCACAGAGGCCUGCAUGCUUAUACAGUUUUAUGAAAGUCUAUAACAAGUGUUCCAUAAGGUUCCUCUGACAUUUGUAUGCUUUAAAUAGGUGAACUGUACUUUACAUUUAUACUCGCCUAAAGUAUGAGUCUGCAUGCCUCUUCAGAUCAGAAAUACGUUAGGCAUGUUUCCUCAGAGUCAUUUGAGUCAAUGGUUGCUGAUCAAUGUUCAUGAUAAUUUGUAUAUCAAGGAACUAAUCUCACAGCACAUUGUUCAUUUAGUGGGCUCGUUUCUGUCAUUGUGCAAAUGUAUUGUUGAUAAGGUUGGGAAACCCGCAGUCGGCUGAGACUGAAGAAGUCACUUGGAUGAGUGACGAAAAAUUAUUCCCGCUCAAAACGUUACGUCCUGAUGAAUAGAAUCAGAUUUGGGGAUUCAGAAUCAUUUGUUUGCAGCAUUUUCAGCUGUAUAAAAACAUGAAUAUGUCAAUUACAUUUGUGCAAUCAUAAACUCCAUGUUAGACAUCAAAGAGUUUUUGAAGUGAAUCUAUCGUGAGUGCAAAAACUACGAUAUGACAAAAUGGCGUUUGAAAUUCUUGCAUCCGGAUCAUUACUUGGAUUUAGUGUACGAGUAUGAAAAUAGUAUGAAGGGAAAAAAAGUUUCAUUCAAAAUGAAACUCAAACUUAAAAAAAGUUGAUUUUUGGCAUCUCUAUUUAUUAAUGUGUUUCUUCUGAGGACAAAGUCAUCCGAUAAGAAAUCCCAUCUGCAGUGUUUAUCUUCAGUCUACUUCAGCUGUGAUAUGAAUGAACUGAAUCUGUUGUAAAUAAUGCUGUUCUUAGUUUUACUGUUUAGGGUACAAUGAAGAAUGUGGAGCUGCAGAGCUCUCCUCCUCUCAGUAUUAACUAUGAAUCUCUUCUGUGCUGCAGUGGCUCAAAUUAACUUCACUAUGAGUGCAGAACAGGAGGUCUACCAGGCUGAGGAAAAAAGUAACAUCACAAUAACAUGGCUGCUCCAUUUCCACACCAACAGACCUCGUGACUUCCUGCAAAUAGACUUAAUGAAUGUGAAAAGGAAGACACGGGUUUUCUUCUAUAACAGUGAGACUGACACUGAGGUGUAUCCAGAUGAGAACUACAGAGGACGACUGCAGUGUGAUCCACAGCUCGCCAGGAAAAGACGGCUUGAAUGUCUCUUAACUGAUCUCAGGCUCAACGACACGGGGACAUAUCACUGCAUCGUUGUCCUUAACAAAGAAGUUAGUUCCAAAACCUGUGACCUCAAUGUUACAACACCGUUUAACAAACCUGUGGAAGUGACAUCAAAACCAGUGAACUCUAAGAGGAUCGGCCUCAUUACAGCUCUUGCUUUGUUUGCUGUGGUGAUUAUAGCGCUAUCACUGCGUUGCCCGACUGUUUUUAAAAAAAAAUAAUAUUACUUGUAUUAAUGUGAAGUAGCAGCCCAUUACAGAUCACUCCUCAGGUCACCUCUGACUGUAAUGAGACUGCUGCCAAUGUUUUCAAAUUCCUCAGAGCUGUGCCACAGAGCAGUGCACAUUUACAUCACCCCCCACUCUUCUAAAAUACUAUGAAAAAGUCUUGAGCCCCCGAUCUCUUUACAUUUUGAAUCCCAGGAGUCAGAUGUUCUUGUAAGUCUUGAAAGUCCAGUUCUUAUGCCUGACCAAUUUUUUUCAGAAGUCUUUCCAGACAAAAGGUUAAACUCCAAGUAAUGCAUAAAAACCAAAGUUUGUCUUUUUGACAAUCUUUUAAUUAUUACUACCUCCUUUAAAAAAAUUAAAUAAAAAAAUGUUAAUUCACUUCAACAAAUGGAGAACAGCAACAGAAGGAUAAGCUAACUCCAGCUAUGAAGCUUUAAACAUUUUUCAUCCAGCACUUUGUUAUCAGACUUUGAUAUUGUCAUAUUUAGCACAUGUGUGGCUAAUUAACCCUUUAAGUAAUUAGCCCUCAUGUGUGUUUGUAUCUGCUCCUGUUUACAAACCAUAUGAAGCACUUUAGACUUUAUGAAGGUUUAUGUGUGCAUCUAUUUCAAAGGUCAACAUGGCCAAAAGACUUUGCUGUUGACACUUUGCACACAAAUUGGUGAGUUGAAGAACACCAAUCAAUGAGUCGACCAAUCAGUGUUUACCCAUAGUUGACCUUAAGAAGCUGCUUUUUAAACUUUUUUUUUUUUUUAAUUUGAGAUACACAGAAUACAAGAUCAGUAAAGUUGAUUUAAUGUUUAAAAUUUUAAAUCUCUUCAUUAGAUAUCGGGCAGUGUCAUAUCUGAAUGCACUGAUGUUUAACGGUGCGUUCACACCGAACGCAAUAGAGGCGAGCAAAAACGCCCCAAAUGCCCCUAAUGUGACGCGUGCACAUUCGCACCUCAACGCGUGUCCAGGGAAAAUCCACCAUGCCUCAAAAUUGCAUCUUUCCACGCGCGUGGACCGGAAAUGUGGGAGGAAGUUGUGCCAGAUGUGUUGUGCUGCAGAUGUCCUCUGAAUAAACACAUUAUCUUGUUAGCGGAAAGGUAUUUGUACAUCAGUGGGAAAAUAUUGGGACAGUAGGCGGGCUUGCUAGCUUUUGCACAGUUUCAUCGGGUCAGUCUGGAAAUUAAAAAGCAGAAUGAAUGAACUUACCAGGUUGCCCAAUCUCCUCACUAAUGUGCCUCCAAGCUAGGUCCGUUUUAUUCCUGUCUCGGUAUAAGUAGCAACUAGCAUCAUUUAGCUCUGGAUGAUUAGCCACGGCACUGAUGAGCUUUUCCUCCAUACUGAGUGACGAAUGAAGGGUUUUGGCUGGAUCUGCCCCUUUGACCUAGUUACAGCCACGUCACCAGGCUCCUGAUUGGUUGUCACGGCGCGAUUUGACGCCAGAGUUCAGAUUUUCCAACUCGAGCGUAUGCACAAAAUGCAACACACAAUCUGACACGCGUGGUUUUCUUCGCAAGUCAAACGCGCCCCACGCGGUACACUGAUGCGCAUUUCAUGGGUUUUGGCGAUUUCAUGACGCAAAUCUGCUUCCGCAUUUUCGCCGGAUGCGCAAUCGCGUGUCAUCGCGCUCUUUCCAUUGACUUUACAUGUGAACCUGACGCUUUGGCUGCCUCUUUCGCGUUCGGUGUGUGCGCACCGUAAGAGUGGCCACAAAAGUUGUCUCUGACUAGGAUUUUAGAAUUUGUUAAGCAAAACUGCAAAAAGAAAGUCUGGCUUUGUUGAACCUGGUCCACACAAUAUAUAUCUCAGGACUUAAUUUCAGUUUUACAUCUCUGUUUCACUGUGACGCCUUGAAAAUUUAAGGUCCAGAGUUUAUGGGGGUUAACUCAGACGUACCUCAGUUUCAGCCGUUUCGGUUUCUCUUUUUGAGUGACCUGAGUCUCAUUGACAAAAAAGUUGAUGUGGAGUGGAGAUGGUGUGUGGCUGCAAAGUGGACAGACUCUGAGAGCAGUAUUAGUAUAGUAUUAUUAUUUUAAUUAUAGGUUAGGUAUGUUAAUAAAUAAAAAAAGGACAUUGGUACUUUUUUCUGCAUAGAAAUGUCCAAAAUAAGUCUUUAAUUAGAACAAAAAUGUAAUUUAAAACAGUUUUGUACAAUAAAUAUUUCUUUUAAAUUUGGUAACAAAGAAGGAAUUUAUUAAUGAUGAUGGGAAAAAAAUGAAAGGACAUUAAGCAUGUACAGCUUCAUGCUAAUUUUGUAUAUUCAUGUUUCUGCUAUAUUCAAUAAACACU